ACUAACAAUCACACUAAGGUGAGGGUGUUUUGCGUGUGUGCUUGUGUGAUUGUGCGUGUAUGAUUGUGUGAUUGUGCUAGUGUGUGUGAAGUGAUCGUGUGUGAGGAUGUGUGUGUGUGUGUGAAGUGAUCGUGUGUGAGAAUGUGUGUGUGUGUGUGUGUGUAUAAGCGUGUGUGUAAUGUUGUGUGUGUCUUGUGUGUGUACAAAUAUAUACAUUAAAGAGUCAAAUCCGGGUAGUCAUAAUCGGGUGGUCAAAUCCGGGUGAUUUCCCAAUCCGUUUUGUGCGUCUGCGAACAGGUGGUGCUCCAAAACCUGGUGGAUUGAGUCAUCCUAACCUAACAUUACAUUCUAACCUAACUAACUUAUUCUAAAGUCACAUCCGGGGGGGUCAAGUCCAGGGAAAGUGCACUAAACACUUCGUCGUUGUCAAUAAAUGGCACCUGAGUGAGGUCAGGUGGCCAGGUUCCGGUGAUUUCUCGGAUCCGUUCCUGAACUUCCCCGAAGAGGGGGCAUUCCAAGAUGCGGUAAACCGGGUCAUCGUCAAAGUCGGGGCAAUUUGGACACAAUGAGUUUUCGCUUUUUCCAACUCGUAAUUGGUGGAUACCAAAAUUCCCAUGUCCCGUGAGAACCUGUGACUUGUGAUCAGGCCCCUGAAAGUGUAUACAAAUUAUGUGUUCACUGGGAGGGGUGGGGCAAAGGGGGGAAACGGCUAAAAUAGUUCGUGUGCUCCAGCUUAGAGGUCGCGUCAGUUGCAAAGAAAUCUGUAAAUUUAAAGGAAUCUGUAACACAUUUUGCUAAAAGUAAAGAAGGUUCACUUAAAAAUAAUCGACGUGCGCACACUUCUCUUUUUAAUUCUUUGAUUUAUCAACAGCCGAUUAUUUUGCUGUCGUUGCGGUUUUUGGCGACAUUUUGUUUUAAUGUGUUUUAAAGACUUCAGAAAACGAUUUAACGUGAUUUUUUGGAUGUUUUUGUGAUCAAACAUCUCUACUUUUAUAUGGAUCUUUUAUUUGAAUCUAGUGUAUAGUGUGAAUGACAGUGUUUUAAUGAAGCAUGAAUCAACUUAAGGCAAAUUAAGAUAUUAAUAUAAUCAUAUUACACCAAGAAGGAUCACACAAACUUCUCUAAUAAAGGAAUUUCUUGAUGUUUAGGAGGUGAAGACUGUCCUUGGAGAUGAUAACGGUUCUUGGGAUGUAAUUGAAAAUCCCAUGAAGACGAGUUAAAUAUAAUGUGCAGUAAUUAAUAGGUAUAUCAUAAUAAUAAAUAAAUUUAUUGUAGUUGCGAAGCUAGUAUUUUGUGAAAGCAGGGGGUUUAGGACUUGCUAUGGUUCAAGGUUUUCAAAUUCGCCAUGUCCCUCUAUGUCUUAAUCUUUUAUGUUGUUUUACACAAUGUUAUAACGCCUAUGCCUGUUAAAAAAACAAGGUUUGUCCUUUUUGUGAUUGCCUAAUUUAGAAACUAAGCGAAAAAACGUAUUCUACAAGUAUCAUACAAGUUAAUCAAUAUUAAAGCCUACUAUUAUUAUAAAUUUAAAUGAUUACAUGGUAGUUUUAAUCAGUUAACUUCCAGUUAUAGUUAUGUAUAUCAGAUAUGUGGCUUUUUAUUUAAAAUAAUUUUAGCACACUUGUAAUUCUCUUGUGUUUGAGUAAUUUACUAAUAACUAUGAUGCAAUCGAGAUUA
Molecule: long non-coding RNA, 1674 nt
Organism: Tribolium castaneum (red flour beetle)
Lineage: Eukaryota; Metazoa; Arthropoda; Insecta; Coleoptera; Tenebrionidae
Exons: 2
Source: RefSeq, a predicted model, not a curated record